GACGAACGCUGGCGGCGUGCCUAAUACAUGCAAGUAGAACGCUGAAGAGAGGAGCUUACUCUUCUUGGAUGAGUUGCGAACGGGUGAGUAACGCGUAGGUAACCUGCCUUGUAGCGGGGGAUAACUAUUGGAAACGAUAGCUAAUACCGCAUAACAAUGGAUGACACAUGUCAUUUAUUUGAAAGGGGCAAUUGCUCCACUACAAGAUGGACCUGCGUUGUAUUAGCUAGUAGGUGAGGUAAUGGCUCACCUAGGCGACGAUACAUAGCCGACCUGAGAGGGUGAUCGGCCACACUGGGACUGAGACACGGCCCAGACUCCUACGGGAGGCAGCAGGAGGGAAUCUUCGGCAAUGGGGGCAACCCUGACCGAGCAACGCCGCGUGAGUGAAGAAGGUUGUCGGAUCGUAAAGCUCUGUUGUAAGUCAAGAACGGGUGUGAGAGUGGAAAGUUCACACUGUGACGGUAGCUUACCAGAAAGGGACGGCUAACUACGUG
RNAcentral lists this ribosomal RNA (497 nucleotides) under uncultured bacterium. RNAcentral's name for it is "partial 16S ribosomal RNA". It matches the Rfam family "Bacterial small subunit ribosomal RNA", at positions 28 to 507 of the family's 1533-position model. The record is from RNAcentral.